Molecule: long non-coding RNA, 300 nt
Organism: Hyaena hyaena (striped hyena)
Lineage: Eukaryota; Metazoa; Chordata; Mammalia; Carnivora; Hyaenidae
Exons: 2
Source: RefSeq, a predicted model, not a curated record
ACCUUUCUUCAAAUUAGAUGAUCUUCUGGGCCUCCUUACCCUGGACCCCUACUCUAGGCAGCACUCCCAAAGCCUCAAGCAAAGAAGUGAAGCCAUCACCAGAUUUUAGACACCGAAAAUGGGGGGAUCCUGGUGUAGACAAAUAGGAUUUCUCAGCCCAUUACCCCUGUGCCAAGAGCAUGCCAUGACGAGGGCCACCUACCUGGCCUUCACGUACGUGAAGAACCACACAGUUCCACUACAAAAUGGUCUCUGUUUAAAGCAUAAACGAAGCCUGCAAAUAAAUGCAAAUCCACUGUU